AAAAAUAACGAAGUAAAUGAUUUUUUUAAUGAAUGUCAUUUGAAAGAUAUGUUAAUUUUAUGAAAUUAAUUCCGUAAAAAAAUAAAUAGAAGAAUUAUAAAUUAAUUCAGAAAAUUAAUUCAUUUAAUACUCUUUAAUUCAAAUUUCAAAAGUGAAGUAGUUUAAUGAAAAAAAUAUUAUAUUGUGAAAAUCAUAAUAUGAAACAUAUCUUUCAAAUACCAUAAUCAAUUUCUGUCGAAUAAAAAAUAAAAAUAAAUAAAUAAACACAAUAACAAACCAAAUAAAAUAAAUGAAAACGAGGAAACAGAAACAAACACUGCAACUCGUUAAACACAUACAAUAAAAUCAUAAAAAAAAAUUCAAUUCGAAACAUACCACAAGUUAAAAAAAAAUCAA
RNAcentral lists this long non-coding RNA (396 nucleotides) under Salvia miltiorrhiza (redroot sage). RNAcentral describes it as "long non-coding RNA (SMIL_LNC013454)". The record is from RNAcentral. Lineage: Eukaryota; Viridiplantae; Streptophyta; Magnoliopsida; Lamiales; Lamiaceae.